AUGGGGAACUGCGCGGCGUCGCGGCACGCCGGGGAGUCGUGGGCCGACGACGGCGACUGGGAGGAGGCGUCGUCCACGUCGGAAGACGACCGCCACCGACGCCACGACGGGUCGGAGGAGCACCUGUCGGAGGUGACGAUCAGGAUCACCAAGAGGCAGCUGCACGAGCUGAUGGAGAGGAAGACGCCCGGCGGGCGGGGUAGCAGCACCCGGCAGCUGCUGGCAGACAUCAUGGACUCCGGGGAGGUGCACCACCAUGACGUGCACCGGGAGGAGCACUGGAGGCCCGCGCUGCAGAGCAUUCCGGAGGCCGUCGAGUCGUGA
Molecule: ribosomal RNA, 324 nt
Filed under: Triticum aestivum (bread wheat)
Lineage: Eukaryota; Viridiplantae; Streptophyta; Magnoliopsida; Poales; Poaceae
Description: partial small subunit ribosomal RNA
Source: RNAcentral